GGUUGGCUCAGAAGCAGCCAUCCUUUAAAGAGUGCGUAACAGCUCACUAGUCGAGUGACCCUGCGCCGAAAAUGUACCGGGGCUAAGCCUGAUACCGAAACUGCGGAUUGUAGGAAACUAUAGUGGUAGGGGAGCGUUGUAUACGAGCAGAAGCCGUACCGUGAGGAGCGGUGGAUUGUAUAGAAGUGAGAAUGCCGGUGUGAGUAGCGAGAUGUAGGUGAGAAUCCUACACACCGAAAGCCCAAGGAUUCCAGGGGAAGGUUCGUCCGCCCUGGGUAAGUCGGGACCUAACGCGAGGCCGAAAGGCGUAGUGGAUGGAAAGCAGGCGAAAGAUUCCUGCACCCGUAUAUGGAGCGAAGGAGUGACGGAGACGGAUAGUGUGACCCUCUUAAUGGAUUGAGGGCGAAGCGAAGCGGCUGGUUACCAGGCAAAUCCGGUAACCAAAAGGCUAGAGCGUGACAGGUAAGCGAAAUCUUCGGAAAGUAGCGAAGCACAUGAUGACGGCUUCCAGGAAAAGCUUCUGGCAAUGCAUAUGCGGCCCGUACCAAAACCGACACAGGUGGGCAGGGAGAGAAUCCCGAGGUGAGCGAGAGAACUGUUGCCAAGGAACUCGGCAAAAUGACUCCGUAAGUUAGCGAGAAGGAGUGCUUAAGCAAUUAAGCCGCAGUGAAGAGGCCCAAGCGACUGUUUAACUAAAACACAGCUCUCUGCGAAGUCGCAAGACGAAGUAUAGGGGGUGACACCUGCCCGGUGCUGGAAGGUUAAGAGGAUCUGUUAAGAGCGAUCUGAAGCAGUGAUCCGAAGCCCCAGUGAACGGCGGCCGUAACUAUAACGGUCCUAAGGUAGCGAAAUUCCUUGUCAGGUAAGUUCUGACCCGCACGAAAGGUGUAACGAUUUGGGCGCUGUCUCGGCAGCAGACUCGGUGAAAUCUUAGUACCUGUGAAAAUGCAGGUUACCCGCAACUAGACGGAAAGACCCCAUGGAGCUUUACUGCAGCCUGAUAUUGAAUUCUGGUCAUACAUGUACAGGAUAGGUGGGAGACAAAGAGACGUGCACGCCAGUGUACGAGGAGUCGACGUUGGGAUACCACUCUUGUGUGACCGGGGUUCUAACCUGGUAUCGAGAACAGGUACGGGGAGAGUGUCAGGUGGGCAGUUUGACUGGGGCGGUCGCCUCCCAAAGAGUAACGGAGGCGCCCAAAGGUACGCUCAGAUUGGAUGGAAACCAAUCGUCGAGUGCAAUUGCAGAAGCGUGCUUGACUGUGAGACAGACAAGUCGAACAGGGACGAAAGUCGGGAAUAGUGAUCCGGCGGUGCCGAAUGGAAGGGCCGUCGCUCAACGGAUAAAAGCUACCCUGGGGAUAACAGGCUGAUCUCCCCCAAGAGUCCACAUCGACGGGGAGGUUUGGCACCUCGAUGUCGGCUCAUCGCAUCCUGGGGCUGAAGUAGGUCCCAAGGGUUGGGCUGUUCGCCCAUUAAAGCGGUACGCGAGCUGGGUUCAGAACGUCGUGAGACAGUUCGGUCCCUAUCUGUUGUGGGCGAAGGAGAUCUGCGGAGAGCUGUCCUCAGUACGAGAGGACCGGGAUGGACCUACCGCUGGUGCACCGGUUGUUCCGCCAGGGGCAUAGCCGGGUAGCUAAGUAGGGAAAGGAUAAGCGCUGAAAGCAUCUAAGCACGAAGCCUACUCCAAGAUGAGAUCUCCCAUUCGCAAGAAGUAAGACCCCUUAAAGACGAUAAGGUAGAUAGGCCAGGGAUGGAAGUGCAGUGAUGUACGGAGUUGACUGGUACUAAUCGGUCGAGGACUUAAUC
This 1808-nucleotide ribosomal RNA is filed under the name human gut metagenome. RNAcentral describes it as "bacterial LSU rRNA". It matches the Rfam family "Bacterial large subunit ribosomal RNA", at positions 1099 to 2925 of the family's 2925-position model. The record is from RNAcentral.